This 80-nucleotide transfer RNA is filed under the name Candidatus Liberibacter americanus. Its description in RNAcentral is "tRNA-Ile". It matches the Rfam family "tRNA". Rfam says of the family: Transfer RNA (tRNA) molecules are approximately 80 nucleotides in length. The record is from RNAcentral. Lineage: Bacteria; Pseudomonadati; Pseudomonadota; Alphaproteobacteria; Hyphomicrobiales; Rhizobiaceae.
GGGCCCAUAGCUCAGGCGGUUAGAGUGCACCCCUGAUAAGGGUGAGGUCGGUAGUUCGAGUCUACCUGGGCCCACCACCC